AUACGGAGGAUCCGAGCGUUAUCCGGAUUUAUUGGGUUUAAAGGGUGCGCAGGCGGGAGAUUAAGUCGGCGGUGAAAUUUUUGCGCUCAACUGGAAAAAUGCCCUCUGAAACGGUUUCCUUGAGUGUAGAUGGAGAGUGGGGGAUUUUGGGGGUGGAGGGGGAAUGCAUAGAUAUCACGAAGAACUCCGAUCGCGAAGGCAGCCUUCCGGCCCGUCAACGACGCUCAUGCUCGAAGGUGCGGGUAUCAAACAGGAUUAGAUACCCUGGUAGUCCGCACAGUAAACGAUGGACACCCGCGGUUUGGCCUAUAUGGCUGAGCCGCCAAGCGAAAGCGUUAAGUGUCCCACCUGGGGAGUACGCCGGCAACGGUGAAACUCAAAGGAAUUGACGGGG
This 394-nucleotide ribosomal RNA is filed under the name uncultured bacterium. RNAcentral's name for it is "partial 16S ribosomal RNA". It matches the Rfam family "Bacterial small subunit ribosomal RNA", at positions 523 to 918 of the family's 1533-position model. The record is from RNAcentral.